UACGUAGGGUGCAAGCGUUGUCCGGAAUUAUUGGGCGUAAAGGGCGCGUAGGCGGCUUGGCAAGUGGAAGGUGAAAUCCCUCGGCUUAACCGAGGAACUGCCCUCCAAACUGCUUCGCUUGAGACCGGGAGAGGUGAGUGGAAUUCCCAGUGUAGCGGUGAAAUGCGUAGAUAUUGGGAGGAACACCAGUGGCGAAGGCGGCUCACUGGACCGGUACUGACGCUGAUGCACGAAAGCGUGGGGAGCAAACGGG
Molecule: ribosomal RNA, 253 nt
Filed under: uncultured bacterium
Lineage: Bacteria
Description: partial 16S ribosomal RNA
Rfam family: Bacterial small subunit ribosomal RNA
Source: RNAcentral